AAGGUUUUAAGUUAAAUAAACUAAUAGCCUUCAAAGCUAUAAAUAAAGAAUCUCAAUCCCUUUAAGCCUUA
Molecule: transfer RNA, 71 nt
Filed under: Malaccina discoidalis
Lineage: Eukaryota; Metazoa; Arthropoda; Insecta; Blattodea; Blattellidae
Description: tRNA-Trp
Rfam family: tRNA
About the family: Transfer RNA (tRNA) molecules are approximately 80 nucleotides in length. Their secondary structure includes four short double-helical elements and three loops (D, anti-codon, and T loops).
Source: RNAcentral